Molecule: RNA transcript, 1535 nt
Organism: Rhododendron vialii
Lineage: Eukaryota; Viridiplantae; Streptophyta; Magnoliopsida; Ericales; Ericaceae
Exons: 2
Source: RefSeq, a predicted model, not a curated record
UGCUGUUGUCUUAUAUAAAAAUGUGUAAGCUAUGUCUCAAAAUUGUAACUGAGAACGGCUGGGUUAAAAUUCAUGGAAUAAGAUAGAGUUCAACACUCUGCAUUUGAUUUGAACUCUUGACUCGGGGUAAAUGAUCUUCUGGGGUUGUCGUACUGGUAUUUCGGGGUAGACGCCGGCGUGGACAGUAGUGUAUCCGUGGUCGACGAGGGUUCGGACCAGCCACGUGCCGAUGAAUCCGUUGGCGCCGGUCACGCACACCGGUGGCUUACUGUCAGAUGUCUUAUCCGCCAUCUGUUUUUAUCGGCGUCAAUUACUGGUUAGUAGUUAACUGAGCUUGAACCCACAACCUCGGUUAUAAGAUUUGACCCCGAUCACAUGCCGCUGUCGUGCUAGUUGUUUCAGUUUCUAUCUAUUCACAGCAAUUGGUAUCAACUGUCUAGGAAAGUAGGGUUCUCAUCAAACAUGCUUUUUUCGGGCGGAUAAGGUUUUGAGAUAGGGAAAGAAGUAAAGUUAAAGAAUUGAGCGUUUCUCGGACGGAUAAUAUUUUGAGAUAAGAAAGAAAGAAAUUUAAGGACUUGCUAGGAUAGAAUAAGAGAAAAGGGGGAUAAGACUUGGUUUGGUUAAUAAUUGAUAUGAACGGAUAAGACGUAUAAGCUUUUCAAUUUAAGAAAAAGAAGGAAAGUCUUUUUUGUUGUUAUUCGUUAAACUUAAUUUACUCUAACGAAGAAGGGAAGUUAAAGAUGUUGAUAUGAUAGAAGGAGAAAGUAAUAAAGAAAAAGGAUAUGACUUGGUUUGUUUGGGAGUUGAUACAGAAGGAUAAGAUAGAUGGAGAAUGAAGUAAUGUGCCAAACUACUUGUCUAGUAUGACGAUAGAGAACUUAAAAACACCAUAUUUUUACCCCAACAUUCUAAUUGUCCACACACUGUUUUCCAUAGUAGAGUCUUACCAAAUUUCCUAAUCACUCCACAUGGCUUCCGCUGCGUCCAAUGCCACCUCUACAUGGCCCACAAGGCUAUGCAUUUGCAGAGCUGGUCCUUGCAUUCCCAGAAAAUCUGGCUCCUGCGCAAAGAACCCCGGCAAGUGGUACUAUGACUGCCCUCGUGACCCUUAGCCUUGCCAGGAGUGAAUGAUUGGUGCAAUGAAAACAUUCUGAAUGUGGCCCAUUCUCAUGAUGAUAGGUCAUUCCAAUUCACGAAGUCUUCCGAAGCUUACAACUUCAACGGCCACAACUUAAGUCAACACAUGUUAGCUAUAGAAAAUGCCGUCCGGACCUUACUGAUUAUUGGAAUUGUAAUUUGUGUCCUACUACUUGUUGUCCUAGUGCGUAUGCCAUAGUAAAUGUUUGGAUUAAAAAGUUAAGGUUAACUUAACGAAAGUCUUUAUCCAUGCAAAUGUGUUCAAAUAUGAACUAAGAUUUAGAAUUAAGACAAUAUGAAAGUUAACUUCACUUUUUUAAUCCAAACCCACUUGUACUCUAUGUUUUUGCAUGUACUUAUCUAUGUAAUAGUUGUACUACAUAAGACCUUGUAAUAUU